Molecule: ribosomal RNA, 138 nt
Filed under: uncultured eukaryote
Lineage: Eukaryota
Description: partial 18S ribosomal RNA
Rfam family: Eukaryotic small subunit ribosomal RNA
Source: RNAcentral
UGGUGGAGUGAUUUGUCUGGUUAAUUCCGAUAACGAACGAGACCUUAACCUGCUAACUAGGCGUUGAAACUAUGGUUUCAGAUAGUCUUCUUAGAGGGACUUUGCGUGUCUAACGCAAGGAAGUUUGAGGCAAUAACA